AACACAGCUAGGGCAUUUCAAAAAUUACCAUCCCGGUCACCAUUUUCACCGACAUUCGUCUCCCAUUCGCCGGCAUCGUCCUCGUCCAUUGUUGUGUCGGCAAGAGUCGUUUGAUUGAGAGUACCAGAGAUAGAGGAGACACACAAAAGGCAACGCCUUCCAUAUCGUUUGCCGCCGUAAUCGUCCUCGCACCACUAUAAUGCCGUUCGCCGUCAUCGUCCUCCUACCAGGGGCUAGCCGUUGCCAUAGCUGUAAGCAUUGGAGGAGCAACUGAUGGACUGAGCAGAAAAUUGAAGCACAAAAUUUGCGAUCGUGGAGUUACAAGUGCAAACUGAGAAAAUUACACAUACACUCACAGAGAUAGAUAAAGAGAGAGAGAUAUAUAUAAAUAGAUAGAGAAGCAUUGGUGGUGGUUUGUCCCCCAUUAAUGUAAGUUGCUUCUCUGUACAACAUAGAAAAUAUUUUGCAAACUAAUUUCGCUUUAAUGUAACGAACUUAUCUGAAAACCUUUAGUUGUGCUGUAUUGAAUGAGUUUUACAAUUUUGAACCUU
Molecule: long non-coding RNA, 551 nt
Organism: Ziziphus jujuba (common jujube)
Lineage: Eukaryota; Viridiplantae; Streptophyta; Magnoliopsida; Rosales; Rhamnaceae
Exons: 2
Source: RefSeq, a predicted model, not a curated record